AACACUUAACACAUCAUGUGAUACAACAAUACAUGUUAUUGUUGUGAUGAGGGAAUUGUUGUUGUGAUUUUGGCGCAAUUUCUCUGCUCAGCCUUUUCUUAUUGUAGUUUGGAUCUUAAUUUGGGUAACCCGGUAAACCUACACGGAUCCUUGAUAUUCUUAUUCCCUAAUUUUAUUUCUUACGCUCUCUCCUUUACAAAAACCUAAAAACCAUUCUCCUCAUCAUGUUCUUCCGAUUAAACUCUACAUUGGAUCGAAACAAAGGAAUUAGCUUAUACUUUUUGGUGUAGCUAUCAGCAGGCGUUAGUUGUUGCCACGCUAUGCAGGUAUCGAACUAUAUAAUUUUUAUUAUCACUUUGAUUCACGGAUAAGUUUAAUGCAUUUGAGAUUUAGUAGAAAACAACAUUGAAAGAUACCAGGUAUGUAUAAGAGAUAAUAAGUAUGUGCUAAAGGUAUCAUUUUAGUGUUCGUAUCAUAUGUUGACCGUUAAAAGCUAGCCGAAUGAUCUUGAUCCGCUGUCGAACCGGGACUCAUUAGGCUGUAAAGUGAGGACCAAGGACCAGAUCACAUCUUUCGUCCUUCGCAUUUGUCAAGAUGGGUCGGAUCAGAUCGGAAACUGCUCGGGCUGUAGAAUGUAUGAGAGAGUAUGGAUAGAAGGUUUUGGGCUAUACAAUUAUUAUUUGCUAACAGUGACAGUUGGUGAUGUACAGUCCGCUCGCUGUUAUUGAAGUGUCUAAUGUUUCAAAGAUGUCGCCCAGUUACGCAUUAGUUUUAGUCAAAAGAUAAACUACUACUGAUAUUUAUAUUUGUCUUUGGAUCACUAAUAAUAAGUAGAUGGUUUAAAAUUUUAGACAGGUGAUUCAACUCACCAACCAGAAUCGACCAAUAUAAAAUAUUGGUUUUACUCCCAACCCGUUUUGACCCGCCCCUACUUCUUACCAUGUUCCAUGGUAGCCGAAGAAACAUGACCCAUUGCAACAGGUCCUAGAACAAGAAUGGUUCGGUCGUCACAUUCACCAAAGGAGGUCUGAGUCGAGAAUGGAAGUGUUACAUUCUUUGCAAUGGUCAUUCCCUUUUAAUGAUUUAGUUAAUAUAUUAAAGGUUCUGACUUUUGUGUUUCCUGGACAGUAUUUUCAUCUAGAUCAUAUGCCAUCCGCAGAGAAACAAACGUUUUAACUUAAAAAUGUUGUAUUUGAUUUGUGAGUUUUGGUUUGUUAUCUGUUGUUGUUGUUUUAUAUUUUGUGCAUUGGAUGUUAUUACUGUUCUCACGAUUAUUGAUGGAUAGCAGUGGGUCACAGUGAUGGUAUUGCUGAUGCAAUUUGUGCUUGAGUUAUUGAGGUAAUUGUGUUCUUCUUACUGAUGUGUUUCAUGCUUAAAAUAUUAUAUUAUAGUAGGUAUGGAUUUCAAAGUAUUUUACUUUUUACUUGUAUACCCUAAUACAUAAAAUACAAAUUCGGUUUCUGUUUGUGUACCAGAUGCACUAAUUUUAUUGUUUUUAGUAUUUGUUGUGUAAUUUUUAAUUACCAUAAUACAACAACGCAUGAUCUCAAGAUUAGGCGAACUUGAAAAGAAGGUUGAUACAUUCAAAACAACGCCAUCAAAGAUGCCUUACGAGAAAGAAGAAUUGCGAAAUGCUGCUGAUUGCCGUGUGGAUGCUUUAGAAGCUUAACUUAUUGACUUAAAUGAUCUUGACUAGAUGCAUAAAUGUCGAGAGUGCUCUGUAUGCUUUCCAAGUAAGAAGAGUUAGAGAAUUCUUUGAAUUAUUUGCAAAAGAUCACUCAGAAACUUCAAGAUUUGGUAUAUGCAAGAUUUUUUCCCCUUUUAAGUGCUUCAGUUCCUGCCGAAAUAGUUUUGAUGAGAAAGAGUUGAUUUUAAGUUUGCUACAAGAGUGCAAACUAUUCCUCUUGCUGAGUGGAAUCAUAAUGAUAUAGUCACCUUCUUCACUUCUUCAUGAGUGGAACGUUGAUUCCCCAUAUGUGAAUUUGAUAUAGUUACCUAAGAAUAUGGUUUUAUUCAAUUUGACUAAUGGUUUUUAUUCAUUACAUUCCAGUUAAGCCAUUAUCUUGUAUGUCCAACAUAUACGUUUAUAACUAUGAAUUUAUCAUGUAUAAUCAUCCCCGACUAAUGUUCU
Helianthus annuus (common sunflower) is the source of this 2131-nucleotide long non-coding RNA. RefSeq lists it as uncharacterized. The record is from RefSeq and is a predicted model, not a curated record. Lineage: Eukaryota; Viridiplantae; Streptophyta; Magnoliopsida; Asterales; Asteraceae. The transcript is spliced from 3 exons.